UUAAACAUUUCAUGCAUAAUUCAGUGCACCUCUCUGUCUCUUCCCUCACCCCUUUCUUUCCUCCAGAUCAACAACUAACCAAGAAAUCUGUAAGAAUAAGGACAGCCAGGCAAGUUUGUUACUUAUGUAGUAACUUCUUUCCUCUACAGGCAUCAUGAUCCUCAAGAGGAAUGAACUCAUGACCACCUUCUCUGCUUAUUAAAGGAGCAUCUUUAUUACUGGCUGUAAUAUCAGAUAGUAAGAGCAAUGGUGUCUGUGGAAGAAAUGGUCUGAGUCCAAGGCUUUGGCCAUACUGUUCAUAAAGCACUACUACCACCAAUGCAAAGUUUCAAGUACUCUGAGAUUACCCUGCAGGUGUAAGAGUGCAUAGAAUUACUGAUGAACUUACCGGGAUUUGGGGUAAAGGCCUUCAACCUUUCUUACCAGAAGGAGCUCUCUCCCUCUCCUGGGUGCCCAGAAGGUGAGAAGGUGUAACCGCUCUCCGCGGCGGAGCGGGGGCGUGGGAUCACUCAAGGAUGUAUCCAGAAGGAAUCACUCACCUGAAGGAAGGUGAGGGUGCUCAGACUGGCGAGGUUUCCUCACGCACUGCCUCAGCUGAAGGGAGAGGCUUCCAGCACAGCCCCACUGCCCCAAGCAGAAUGCUCCGAGGGGGGCUCCCAUGGCCCCCCAUUGAUACCCCGGGUCGGGCUGAGCUGUGCCAUAACUGGCCAUGGUCCACAAGUUUCUUUGGACCAAGGCACCUCACUGGCUGCGGACCCUCUCCAUGCACUGAAGGGUCUUGCCUCUCCCCCCUCUCUCUCCCCUGCUGAGGGGGUACAUGCCUGCACCUGGGGGCACAGCAAAGCACAAAGGGCAUGAAAAUGAGGUGUCAGAAACCAGCGAUCACCGUGUCAAAAAUCUGACCACGGGGGGCUGCUGGGCAGAGUGUA
Molecule: non-coding RNA, 929 nt
Organism: Phalacrocorax carbo (great cormorant)
Lineage: Eukaryota; Metazoa; Chordata; Aves; Suliformes; Phalacrocoracidae
Source: RefSeq, a predicted model, not a curated record